AACCAUUGUGGAAGUCAGUGUGGCAAUUCCUCAGGGAUCUAGAACUAGAAAUACCAUUUGAUCAAACACAGUUUUAAAAGAUUCAUAAGUCGAAGCCCUAAUACCCAGUAAUUCAGAAUGUGACUGUAUUUAGAUAUGGAGAUAGGGCCUUUAAAGAAGCGAUUAAGCUAAAAUAAGGAUGUUAGGGUGGGCUCUCAUCUAAUUUGACUUGUAUUCUUAUUAGAAGGCAAUCUGGACACAAAGGGACACUGGGGUACAUAUGUACAGAAAAAAGACCAUGUGAAGACACAGUGAGAAAGUGGUCAUUUGCAAGCAAAGAAGAGGUCUCAGAAGAAUGCAAACCUGCUGACACCUUGAUCUCAGAAUUCUAGCCUCCAGAAUGAUGAGGACAUUGAGGCGCAGAGAAAUUAAGUGACCUUCCUCAGAGUCACAUAUGACAGCUAAAUGGUUACAAAGUCCAUAGUAACUAUAGGAUCCCUGUGAUGUUGUGAAAUAUCUAUUUGGUCUUCAUCCCAGUCUCCUAGCGCACAACUCCUAAAAUCCCUGGACUCUUCAAAGUGGUAAGUGUCUUUCUGAACACUGAUGACUUGACUGUUGGCUGGAAGCCCUUAGGUAGCUUCAAGAUGGGAGCUGGUCACCCAAAAGACAAAGGUAGGAUCAGAGGGUUGGGACUUUCAGCCCAUUCCCCAGUCUCCAAGGAGAAAAGAGGUUGAGUUUAUUGGUUUCAUCAAUUGGGCCCAUGUAAUGUAGCCUCCAUAAAGCCUCCCAAAGACAGUGUUUGGGGAGCUUCGGGAUAGCUGAAGACGAGGUUCCUGGAGGGUGGUGCACCUGGGGAAGGGAUGGUAACUCCAUGCCCCUUCCCAUAUGCCUUGCAUCUCUUCGUCUGUAUCCUUUUGUUUAUAUCCGUCAUAAUAAGCCAGUAAGGGUAAGUUUCUCUGAGGUCUGUGAGCUGCUCUAAGAAAUUAAUUGAACCCAAAGAAGGGGUUGUGGGAACUCUUAUUUAUAGUCAGUCAGAAGCACAGGUAAACCAACCUGUGGGCUUGUGAAUUGCAUCAGAAGUGUGGUGUAGGAGCUUGUGAAUUGCAUCAGAAGUGUGGUGUAGUGGGUAGUCUUGGGGACUGAGCCCUCAACCCGUGGGAUCUGAUGCUAUCUUCAGGUAGAUGGUGUCAGGAGUGAAUUGAAUUGAAGGACACUCAGCUAGAGUCUACUGCAGAAUUGAUGGCUUUCUUGCUGAUAGGGAGAAUCCCCACACACUGCUUGGUGACUACAGGGCACAUAAGUCUUCUGUGUUGAUUGCUGUGGGGUGAAAGUGGAGGAAAAGUUUGUUUUUUUCUACAUAAUCCCGUUGAAAGGUAAUUGUAAAAUAAUUGAAGUCACAGAAACAGAUUUUUAAAAAAGAACCAUUAAUUUCUCUGUUUCCCAUAACCUCAUUCUCAAAUAGAUUUCCAGUCAAUGUGCUACGAUUUCAUAGCUUUGCCAUUGUUGUUGUUUUCAGAGCUCCAAGACCACUAUUUCUUCAAGAUUUUUUAGAAUUUUUAAACAUCCUUCUCAUUGCACCUUUUAGUGGUCCCUUAUUGCAAUUCUAUCAUUCAAACUCAAUUAACCAAAUUGUUUAUUCUUUCUGCCUUUGUUUUCAUCUCAGCUGGAGCUACUCCAGGGGUUUACAGCUUGCCAGUUUUGCAAUGAAGUGCUUAGAUCAGAACUCUGAGCAGGACCCCGUUUACUGGGACAGUCUGGCCAUCAGAUGGUGCCUGUAUCAGUGUAGCCCCAGAUCUCAUGGCUUUGCAAACAUCUGUGCUCUCUGCUUUACCCUGCAGCAUUUCACUUCCAUUAAAAGUGCAGCCUAAAAUCUCCCUUGUGCAUCCUUGUCUGGGAACUGGGUGACUUCCAGUUGAAGGGUCAAUAAAUAUAAUUAAAAGGA
This is a long non-coding RNA of Homo sapiens (human), 1921 nucleotides long. RefSeq lists it as uncharacterized. The record is from RefSeq and is a predicted model, not a curated record. The transcript has 2 exons. Lineage: Eukaryota; Metazoa; Chordata; Mammalia; Primates; Hominidae.